This 142-nucleotide ribosomal RNA is filed under the name uncultured eukaryote. RNAcentral's name for it is "partial 18S ribosomal RNA". It matches the Rfam family "Eukaryotic small subunit ribosomal RNA", at positions 1299 to 1458 of the family's 1831-position model. The record is from RNAcentral.
UGGUGGAGUGAUUUGUCUGGUUAAUUCCGUUAACGAACGAGACCUCGACCUGCUAAAUAGUUCGGUGUAAGCGUCAGCUUACAUUCGUGACUUCUUAGAGGGACUAUUGGUGCGUAGCCAAUGGAAGUUCGAGGCAAUAACA